UACGAAGGGGGCUAGCGUUGUUCGGAAUUACUGGGCGUAAAGGGCGCGUAGGCGGUGUGUCAAGUCAGGCGUGAAAGCCCCGGGCUCAACCUGGGAACCGCGCUUGAGACUGGCACGCUCGAGUUCGGGAGAGGAUGGUGGAAUUCCAGUGUAGAGGUGAAAUUCGUAGAUAUUGGGAAGAACACCGAUGGCGAAGGCAGCCAUCUGGACCGACACUGACGCUGAGGCGCGAAAGCGUGGGGAGCAAACAGG
RNAcentral lists this ribosomal RNA (252 nucleotides) under uncultured bacterium. RNAcentral describes it as "partial 16S ribosomal RNA". It matches the Rfam family "Bacterial small subunit ribosomal RNA", at positions 524 to 776 of the family's 1533-position model. The record is from RNAcentral.